Molecule: RNA transcript, 1125 nt
Organism: Leptidea sinapis
Lineage: Eukaryota; Metazoa; Arthropoda; Insecta; Lepidoptera; Pieridae
Gene name: terpene synthase-like
Exons: 10
Source: RefSeq, a predicted model, not a curated record
UAAAUUGAAUAACUUCGUAAAUAUAAAGUGUGUAUCAACAAUAAAUAAUAUUCAUUUAUAUUAUGUCAGCAAAAGAACAAGAAUUAGAACUUUUUAUGGAAAAGGAACUUCUUUCACCCCACACUCAUAUAUUAAAGAUAUCGGGUAAACAAAAUCGAAAAAAUAUUCCAAUGGCAUUCAACUACUGGCUCGACAUACCAAAGGAAAAAGCAAAAUUCAUAUCAGAAUAUUUUUAUAUGAUACACACCGCAUCACUUGUGUUUUAAUGUUGUAGCGGACUCGCAAGAAGCCAAACUAGGUUUUAGAAAAUCAAACAAAUCGGAAAAGAACGUAUUUUGUUAAAGAAAAGUUGGAUGACAUUCUGGACAACACUCUAGUUCGACGUAACGUCCCAGCUGCACACCUGGUAUAUGGCAUUCCUCUUACAAUCAACGCGUCUAUGCAUGUUGUGAUGCUUUCGUUGCAAAAGCUCCUGAAACUUGGACAUCCUAUGAUUGGAUCAACUUUUUCGAACUGCAUGUUGGAAGCGAUCCGAGGUCAAGGGAAGGAAAUAUACUGGAGAGACAAUUUCCAAUGUCCAACUGAAGAACAGUACGAUCAUAUGAUAUUACAAAAGACCGGUCACAUGUUUAAGCUUCUUGUUAGCUUGAUGUCACUAUUUAGCACCAACAAGACGGACUAUUCUCACCUCGCCACACUUCUGGGAUGUUAUUUUCAACUUACUGAUGAUUACUUGAACAUAACCAAAACUGAGGCAUUGGAAGAAUGGUCAAGUACAGACACAAAUCAAGCAAGUCAAUAUUUCUAUGAAGAUCUGACGGAGGGUAAAUUCACUAUGCCCAUCAUACACGCCGCAAAACAAGAUGGAGGCGAGGCUGUUUUGGAUAUUCUCCGUCAACGAACCACUGAUAUAAGUCUUAAGAAACAAUGUGUGUUGCUACUGGAGGAGCUUGGCAGUCUGCAGUAUACGAAAAACAAAAUAUUACAACUUGAACGAACGAUUCGUAUAGAGAUUGAAAACUUCGGCGGAAAUCCAGAACUAUCUUCGCUUCUAGACGAGUUGGCUUCUAACAUCUAAGAUUUAUUGUAUUAUUAUUACUAAUUAUAUUAUAUCUUCAUGGUUUA